UGGGGAAUAUUGCACAAUGGGCGGAAGCCUGAUGCAGCAACGCCGCGUGCGGGAUGACGGCCUUCGGGUUGUAAACCGCUUUCGCCUGUGACGAAGCGUGAGUGACGGUAAUGGGUAAAGAAGCACCGGCUAACUACGUGCCAGCAGCCGCGGUGAUACGUAGGGUGCGAGCGUUGUCCGGAUUUAUUGGGCGUAAAGGGCUCGUAGGUGGUUGAUCGCGUCGGAAGUGUAAUCUUGGGGCUUAAACCUGAGCGUGCUUUCGAUACGGGUUGACUUGAGGAAGGUAGGGGAGAAUGGAAUUCCUGGUGGAGCGGUGGAAUGCGCAGAUAUCAGGAGGAACACCAGUGGCGAAGGCGGUUCUCUGGGCCUUUCCUGACGCUGAGGAGCGAAAGCGUGGGGAGCGAACAGG
Molecule: ribosomal RNA, 409 nt
Filed under: Acidobacteriota bacterium
Lineage: Bacteria; Pseudomonadati; Acidobacteriota
Description: Acidobacteria bacterium partial 16S ribosomal RNA
Rfam family: Bacterial small subunit ribosomal RNA
Source: RNAcentral